CCAUAUUGGGAAAGAAAAUCAACACUUGAUCCCCAGAUGCUGAAAACACAUGACCAAUUACAACCAACAAUACAGCACUAGGAACAGAAGGAAGGGAGACAGCGUCAGGAGGCCUAAGACACUUAUGGACAUUUGUCAGACUUGCUGUAAAGGAAAGUAGAUGAGAACCAAAGAUUUGCCUUGGUUUAAUAAUUAACCAUAGAAGACUGCACUUUUCUUUUAAUGAGCAAAUAGUAAAGGAAAAGAUUGAAAAAUUCCCUCUCUAUCUCCUUGGUGUCAAAAUAUCUUCUUGUACUGUACUCACCCUUGCUCUUCUCGUGAUGAUGUGAGAUGAUAAAAAUGCCUGUUUGAUGAGAUGAAGUGAGGUGCACGACCUAGGCAAUGUGACGUAGUGUUAGCAACUAUUGACCUUCUGAUGUCAAGUCAGGAGGAUUCUCUGCUUCUGGAUGACAGUGAACCUGAGAUCAUGGAACAUGAGUUUAGAAAGAAGUGGAGGCAGGAGGGCCUAUCAUUUGCAAAUGGCACAGAAGAGCAAAAUCAAAUCCUGGAAGAGAGCAAAAAUGAGAUGAAUUUACUCAAGAUCAUCUCCCUGGAGACUGCCAGCUCGAUUAGAGCUAAAUUGCUAUUGAUGACUUCAAAGAAUCAGAUCAUGUAAUUUGACAUAUAAGGAUAUAUGGCACAAAUAAUCAAAUAUUUAAAUAAUGAAAACACCAAAUGAAUUAAAUAUUCCUGUUAUAUAGAA
This is a long non-coding RNA of Canis lupus familiaris (dog), 742 nucleotides long. RefSeq lists it as uncharacterized. The record is from RefSeq and is a predicted model, not a curated record. The transcript is spliced from 4 exons. NCBI's taxonomy places the organism in Eukaryota, Metazoa, Chordata, Mammalia, Carnivora, Canidae.